Long non-coding RNA from Macrobrachium nipponense, 364 nucleotides. RefSeq lists it as uncharacterized. NCBI's taxonomy places the organism in Eukaryota, Metazoa, Arthropoda, Malacostraca, Decapoda, Palaemonidae. The transcript is spliced from 3 exons. The record is from RefSeq and is a predicted model, not a curated record.
AACAGCUUUGAGACUCACUAAAAGUUGAGUCCCCUGAAUGAUGUAGGCUAUGGGGCCACAUAAGACUUUGUCCAUCCAGGGUUACAUUGAACGACAACUUUAAACUAAAAAACCAACAUUUUUCACACAACUCCAGGUUGUUACUAACAAAUUACUACUACAAGUGUCAUCAAGGGAUAACUACAAGUAGAAGCACCAUUUUUGGAUGGAAAAAACCCUUCAGGAAAGUAUACGUAUCACAUGUAACAUGUAGUGUAACAAAGUAUGAACAGUAAGGUUUUUACAUACAGUAGUAUUACAUACGUACAUAACUUUUUUUUACAGGAAUUUCCAACCAAGUUUGAUUAUGUACAUACAUGUUAUA